GACGAACGCUGGCGGCGUGCUUAACACAUGCAAGUCGAGCGGAAAGGCUCCUUCGGGAGUACUCGAGCGGCGAACGGGUGAGUAACACGUGAGUAAUCUGCCCCUCACUUCGGGACAACCGCCGGAAACGGCGGCUAAUACCGGAUACGACCGAUCCUCGCAUGAGGUGUUGGUGGAAAGUUUUUCGGUGGGGGAUGUGCUCGCGGCCUAUCAGCUUGUUGGUGAGGUAACGGCUCACCAAGGCUUCGACGGGUAGCCGGCCUGAGAGGGUGACCGGCCACACUGGGACUGAGACACGGCCCAGACUCCUACGGGAGGCAGCAGUGGGGAAUAUUGGACAAUGGGCGAAAGCCUGAUCCAGCAACGCCGCGUGAGGGAUGACGGCCUUCGGGUUGUAAACCUCUUUCAGUACCGACGAAGCGCCCUUUCGGGUGGUGACGGUAGGUACAGAAGAAGGACCGGCCAACUACGUGCCAGCCGCCGCCGUAACAC
RNAcentral lists this ribosomal RNA (492 nucleotides) under uncultured bacterium. Its description in RNAcentral is "bacterial SSU rRNA". It matches the Rfam family "Bacterial small subunit ribosomal RNA", at positions 28 to 526 of the family's 1533-position model. The record is from RNAcentral.